GCAAACUUGGUCAUUUAGAGGAAGUAAAAGUCGUAACAAGGUUUCCGUAGGUGAACCUGCGGAAGGAUCAUUACCGAGUGAGGGUCUUUUUUAGGCCCAACCUCCCACCCGUGUCUAUUUUGUACCUUGUUGCUUCGGCGGGCCAACCGGCUUUGAUCGGUUGCGCCACGGAAAGGUGGGAUUUCUAUCCCAAGCCAAACUUUUCCGGGCUUUGCGCUCGCCGGAGACCUCCAACAUGAACACUUUUGAGAAGUUUGCAGUCUGAGUUCGAUUGUAUCGCAAUCAGUUAAAACUUUCAACAAUGGAUCUCUUGGUUCCGGCAUCGAUGAAGAACGCAGC
Molecule: unclassified non-coding RNA, 339 nt
Filed under: uncultured fungus
Lineage: Eukaryota; Fungi
Description: partial contains small subunit ribosomal RNA, internal transcribed spacer 1, and 5.8S ribosomal RNA
Rfam family: Eukaryotic small subunit ribosomal RNA (bases 1-73)
Source: RNAcentral